RNAcentral lists this ribosomal RNA (279 nucleotides) under uncultured Ascomycota. RNAcentral's name for it is "partial 18S ribosomal RNA". It matches the Rfam family "Eukaryotic small subunit ribosomal RNA", at positions 548 to 833 of the family's 1831-position model. The record is from RNAcentral. Lineage: Eukaryota; Fungi; Ascomycota.
UUGGAGGGCAAGUCUGGUGCCAGCAGCCGCGGUAAUUCCAGCUCCAAUAGCGUAUAUUAAAGUUGUUGCAGUUAAAAAGCUCGUAGUUGAACCUUGGGUCUGGCUGGCCGGUCCGCCUCACCGCGUGCACUGGUCCGGCCGGGCCUUUCCUUCUGGGGAGCCCCAUGGCCUUCACUGGCUGUGGGGGGGAACCAGGACUUUUACUUUGAAAAAAUUAGAGUGUUUAAAGCAGGCUCGCGCUUGAAUACAUUAGCAUGGAAUAAUGAAAUAGGACGUUGA